CAGUCGCCGCGGGAAUACAGAGGGUGCAAGCGUUAAUCGGAUUUACUGGGCGUAAAGGGCGCGUAGGUGGUUAUGUAAGUGAGAUGUGAAAUCCCCGGGCUCAACCUGGGAACUGCAUCUUAUACUGCGUAGCUGGAGUGCAGUAGAGGGUAGUGGAAUUUCCGGUGUAGCGGUGAAAUGCGUAGAUAUCGGAAGGAACACCAGUGGCGAAGGCGGCUACCUGGACUGACACUGACACUGAGGCGCGAAAGCGUGGGGAGCAAACAGGAUUAGAUACCCCAGUAGUCCCUGUCUCUUAUAC
This 301-nucleotide ribosomal RNA is filed under the name uncultured bacterium. Its description in RNAcentral is "partial 16S ribosomal RNA". It matches the Rfam family "Bacterial small subunit ribosomal RNA", at positions 509 to 807 of the family's 1533-position model. The record is from RNAcentral.